This 253-nucleotide ribosomal RNA is filed under the name uncultured bacterium. RNAcentral describes it as "partial 16S ribosomal RNA". It matches the Rfam family "Bacterial small subunit ribosomal RNA", at positions 524 to 776 of the family's 1533-position model. The record is from RNAcentral.
UACGAAGGGUGCAAGCGUUACUCGGAAUUACUGGGCGUAAAGCGUGCGUAGGUGGUUCGUUAAGUCUGAUGUGAAAGCCCUGGGCUCAACCUGGGAAUGGCAUUGGAUACUGGCGACCUAGAGUGCGGUAGAGGGGUGUGGAAUUCCCGGUGUAGUGGUGAUAUGCGUAGAUAUCGGGAGGAACACCAGUGGCGAAGGCGGCUCUCUGGGCCUUACCUGACGCUGAGACGCGAAAGCGUGGGGAGCGAACCGG